Molecule: RNA transcript, 1856 nt
Organism: Scylla paramamosain (green mud crab)
Lineage: Eukaryota; Metazoa; Arthropoda; Malacostraca; Decapoda; Portunidae
Gene name: serine/arginine-rich splicing factor 2-like
Exons: 6
Source: RefSeq, a predicted model, not a curated record
GUCGACAGAUCACCUCCGCGGCUUCUCCUUCCCACGCCAUUACAGCGGGAGGCAUCCUGCACCGAACAUCCCUCCACAAAUCCCGCAUUAUCUCCACCAUCCAACAACUUACCCACUUGAAACUCAUCGCACUAACAAACCGAAGCCCGAAGAACACGAUAACCCCCAUCAGAACCCGCGGGAAGUGAUAGUUUUUGCGAUAAAGGCCGGUAAAAAGCAAUUCACGCCGCCAUGUCGUACGGCCGGGGUCCUCCUGAUAUAAAGGGCAUGACGUCAUUGAAGGUGGAUAAUUUGACCUAUCGCACGACCCCUGAGGAUUUGAGGAGGUCGUUUGAGAAAUAUGGUGAGAUUGGAGACGUCUAUAUACCAAGAGACAGGUUCAGCAGAGAAAGUCGUGGGUUUGCGUUCGUCAGGUACUACGACAGAAGGGACGCAGAGGACGCCAUGGAGGCAAUGGACGGCAGGAGAUUGGACGGUAGGGAGCUGCGAGUCCAGAUGGCAAGGUAUGGCCGCCCGGAGACACCCCCGCACCGCCGCCGCCGCCGUCGUUGCUCGGACAGCUCUCGAUCAAGGUCACGCUCAAGGUCACGCCGUAGGAGCCGCCGCAGGUCAAGGUCUCGCUCCAGGUCAAGGUCGAGGUCAAGGUCACGCCGUCGCCACUCUAGGUCAAGGAGUAACAGCCGGAGCCGAACGAGGUCGCGAACCCACUCUCGUUCAGGAAGCAAGUCUCCUUCUCGUUCUCCCCAAGAACACCCGAACACCGCAGCUGGUGCCGCUCCCCACCACCACCACCACCACCACAGCCCGCCCCCCUCCCCCUCCGCCCAGAACCCCCCCGAGAAUGGGAUGGACGGGGCUAUUGAUGGAGGGGAGCCUGGGGGUGGUGGAGGUCGUGGAGGGUCAAGGUCGAGGUCGAGGUCAAGGUCCAGGUCGCGGUCAAGGUCUCGUUCGAAAUCCAGAUCAAUGGAAUGAAGGAAGAAGAUGAAGCAUUAAGAAGAAGAAGAAGAGGGAGAGAAGGAGAGAGAGGAGAGGAGAGGGAAGGGAGAGAGAGAGAGGGAGAGAGAGAGAGAGAGGCGAUUAAGAUAGUAAUGUUGCAAGGCGCUGAAGAGUAAGCGGUAAGCAGUGUUGCUGUGUUGCGGUGUUGCGGUGUUGCGGUGAUGCUGUGUUGGUGGUGGCAGUGAUGCGGUGUUGCAGUGGUGGUGGUGGUGGCGGCGAAGGGGGGGGCGGGGGGAUACGGAGAGAGAGAGAGAGAGAGAGGGAAGAGGAAGAGAAAGAGAGAGUGUGUUUGAACCAGACACCAAACUAUUACUACUACUACUACUACUAUUACUACCACUACUACUAUUACCACUACUACUACUACUACUACUACUGUCAAAUUCUAUACACAGACUACCAGUUCGAAAGAGAGAGAGAGAGAGAGAGAGGAGAAUAUAUGAACGAGGAAGAGGAAGAGGAGGAGGAGGGAAGAGGGGAGGAAGAGGAAGAGGAAGAAUUUUUUUUUAUAUAAUAAUAAAAAUUUUUCAGGCUUUUUUUAUUAUAAAUUGAAAAAAAGUAGUUUUUUUUUACUUCAAAAUUUAUUAUUAUUAUUAUUUUGCAUUUUACUGACGAAGAAGAAGAAGAAGAAGAGGAGGAAGAAGAAGAAAAGGAAGAAGAAGAAGAAGGAAGAAGAAGAAGAAGAAAAUUUUAAUAAUUGUUUAAUAUAUUUUUCGUUUCCAGGUCUCUCUCUCUCUCUCUCUCUCUCUCUCUCUCUCUCUCUCUCUCUCUCUCUCUCUCUCUCUCUCUCUCUCUCUCUCUCUCUUUCAAUAUAUUUUUUUACCAGUAUAAUUUCAAAAUAAAUAUUACUUUUUUGAAAA